RNAcentral lists this ribosomal RNA (443 nucleotides) under bacterium het-d-18. RNAcentral's name for it is "bacterial SSU rRNA". It matches the Rfam family "Bacterial small subunit ribosomal RNA", at positions 52 to 539 of the family's 1533-position model. The record is from RNAcentral.
CACAUGCAGUCGACGGAUCCUUCGGGAUUAGUGGCGGACGGGUGAGUAACACGUGGGAACGUGCCCUUUGGUUCGGAACAACUCAGGGAAACUUGAGCUAAUACCGGAUAAGCCUUUCGAGGGAAAGAUUUAUCGCCAUUGGAGCGGCCCGCGUAGGAUUAGCUAGUUGGUGGGGUAAAGGCCCACCAAGGCUACGAUCCUUAGCUGGUCUGAGAGGAUGAUCAGCCACAUUGGGACUGAGACACGGCCCAAACUCCUACGGGAGGCAGCAGUGGGGAAUCUUGCGCAAUGGGCGAAAGCUCGUGACGCAGCCAUGCCGCGUGAAUGAUGAAGGUCUUAGGAUUGUAAAAUUCUUUUCACCGGGGACGAUAAUGACGGUUCCCGGAGAAGAAGCCCCGGCUAACUUCGUGCCAGCGGCCGCGGUAAUUACGAAGGGGGCUAGC